CCUACGGUGGAUGCAGUGAGGAAUAUUUGUCAAUGGGCGCGAGCCUGAACCAGCCAAGUCGCGUGAGGGGAGACGGCCCUACUGGUUGUAAACCUCUUUUGCCGGGGAGCAACGGGCGCCACGGGUGGCGCCUCUGAGAGUACCCGGAGAAAAAGCAUCGGCUAACUCCGUGCCAGCAGCCGCGGUAAUACGGAGGAUGCGAGCGUUAUCCGGAUUUAUUGGGUUUAAAGGGUGCGUAGGCGGAGCGGUAAGUCAGUGGUAAAAUUGAGGGGCUCAACCCCUUCCCGCCAUUGAAACUGGCGCUCUUGAGUGGAAGAGAAGUAUGCGGAAUGCGUGGUGUAGCGGUGAAAUGCAUAGAUAUCACGCAGAACCCCGAUUGCGAAGGCAGCAUGCCGGCUUCCGACUGACGCUGAAGCACGAAAGCGUGGGGAUCGAACAGGAUUAGAUACCCGGGUAGUC
Molecule: ribosomal RNA, 459 nt
Filed under: uncultured bacterium
Lineage: Bacteria
Description: partial 16S ribosomal RNA
Rfam family: Bacterial small subunit ribosomal RNA
Source: RNAcentral